RNAcentral lists this RNase P RNA (403 nucleotides) under Paracoccaceae bacterium. Its description in RNAcentral is "RNase P RNA component class A". It matches the Rfam family "Bacterial RNase P class A". From Rfam's summary of the family: Ribonuclease P (RNase P) is a ubiquitous endoribonuclease, found in archaea, bacteria and eukarya as well as chloroplasts and mitochondria. Its best characterised activity is the generation of mature 5'-ends of tRNAs by cleaving the 5'-leader elements of precursor-tRNAs. The record is from RNAcentral. Lineage: Bacteria; Pseudomonadati; Pseudomonadota; Alphaproteobacteria; Rhodobacterales; Paracoccaceae.
GCGGAUGGCCGGACGGCCGCGGCCUUCGCAAGAGGGGCGAGGAAAGUCCGGACUCCAUGAGGCGAGGGUGCCGGGUAACGCCCGGCCGGGGAAACCCGAGGGAAAGCGCCACAGAGAAGAGACCGCCCCCGUCCGCGGGGGUAAGGGUGAAACGGUGGGGUAAGAGCCCACCGCGGGACUGGCAACAGGACCGGCACGGCAAGCCCCACCCGGAGCAAUGCCGAAUAGGGGCCCCGCGCGGGUUUGAUCCUUGGCCUCGGCCUUGGAUAUCGCCGCAGGGACGCUUCAGCCCAGGGGCCCGGGUUGGCAGCUUGAGCCCGUCGGUAACGGCGGGCCUAGAGGAAUGGUCGUCGAAGGGGCUUCGGCCCCGGAACAAAAUCCGGCUUACAGGCCAUCCGCGCGU